GACGAACGCUGGCGGCGUGCCUAACACAUGCAAGUCGAGCGAGUGAAUCUCCUUCGGGAGUGAAGCUAGCGGCGGACGGGUGAGUAACACGUGGGCAACCUGCCUUGAAGUGGGGGAUAACACCGGGAAAUCGGUGCUAAUACCGCAUGAGAUACACAAACCGCAUGGUAUGGGUAUGAAAGGAGAAAUCCGCUUUAAGAUGGGCCCGCGUCUGAUUAGCUAGUUGGUAAGGUAAAGGCUUACCAAGGCGACGAUCAGUAGCCGACCUGAGAGGGUGACCGGCCACACUGGAACUGAGACACGGUCCAGACUCCUACGGGAGGCAGCAGUGGGGAAUAUUGCGCAAUGGGGGGAACCCUGACGCAGCAACGCCGCGUGGAGGAAGAAGGUCUUCGGAUUGUAAACUCCUGUCUUCUGGGAAGAUAAUGACGGUACCAGAGGAGGAAGCCACGGCUAACUACGUGCCAGCAGCCGCGGUAAGAGUCACGUCGCUGGGACUG
Molecule: ribosomal RNA, 500 nt
Filed under: uncultured bacterium
Lineage: Bacteria
Description: bacterial SSU rRNA
Rfam family: Bacterial small subunit ribosomal RNA
Source: RNAcentral